RNAcentral lists this ribosomal RNA (253 nucleotides) under uncultured bacterium. RNAcentral's name for it is "partial 16S ribosomal RNA". It matches the Rfam family "Bacterial small subunit ribosomal RNA", at positions 524 to 776 of the family's 1533-position model. The record is from RNAcentral.
UACGGGGGGGGCAAGCGUUGUUCGGAAUUACUGGGCGUAAAGGGCUCGUAGGUGGCCAACUAAGUCAGACGUGAAAUCCCUCGGCUUAACCGGGGAACUGCGUCUGAUACUGGAAGGCUUGAGGAUGGGAGAGGGAUGUAGAAUUUCAGGUGUAGCGGUGAAAUGCGUAGAUAUCUGGAGGAAUACCGGUGGCGAAGGCGGCAUCCUGGACCAUUACUGACGCUGAGGCGCGAAAGCUAGGGGAGCAAACGGG